UAGGGAAUAUUGCACAAUGGGGAAACCCUGAUGCAGCGACGCCGCGUGAGUGAUGAAGGCCUUCGGGUCGUAAAGCUCUGUCGUAUGGGACUAACAAAAUGAAGGUACCAUGCAAGAAAGGAUCGGCUAACUUCGUGCCAGCAGCCGCGGUAAGACGAGGGAUCCUAGCGUUGUUCGGAAUUAUUGGGCGUAAAGCGGGUGUAGGCGGACUUAUAAGUCAGGUGUGAAAUCCCAGGGCUCAACCCUGGAAGUGCACUUGAUACUGCAAGUCUUGAGUGUGGUAGAGGCUAUUAGAAUUCCUGGUGUAGUGGUGAAAUACGUAGAUAUCAGGAGGAAUACCGGAGGCGAAGACGGAUAGCUGGGCCAACACUGACGCUGAGACCCGAAAGCGUGGGGAUCAAACAG
Molecule: ribosomal RNA, 405 nt
Filed under: uncultured bacterium
Lineage: Bacteria
Description: bacterial SSU rRNA
Rfam family: Bacterial small subunit ribosomal RNA
Source: RNAcentral